CUACGGGGGGCAGCAGUGGGGAAUAUUGGACAAUGGGGGAAACCCUGAUCCAGCAAUGCCGCGUGUGUGAAGAAGGCCUGCGGGUUGUAAAGCACUUUCGGUUGGGAGGACUGCUUCUAGCACUAAUAUUGUUGGAAGUUGACGUUACCUUCAGAAGAAGCACCGGCUAACUCCGUGCCAGCAGCCGCGGUAAUACGGAGGGUGCAAGCGUUAAUCGGAAUUACUGGGCGUAAAGCGCGCGUAGGCGGCUAGAUCAGUCGGGUGUGAAAGCCCCGGGCUUAACCUGGGAACUGCAUCCGAUACUGUCUAGCUUGAGUACAGGAGAGGAGAGUGGAAUUCCACAUGUAGCGGUGAUAUGCGUAGAUAUGUGGAGGAACACCAAUGGCGAAGGCAGCUCUCUGGCCUGAUACUGACGCUGAGACGCGAAAGCGUGGGGAGCAAACAGGAUUAGAUACCCUUGUAGUC
RNAcentral lists this ribosomal RNA (465 nucleotides) under uncultured bacterium. RNAcentral's name for it is "partial 16S ribosomal RNA". It matches the Rfam family "Bacterial small subunit ribosomal RNA", at positions 339 to 795 of the family's 1533-position model. The record is from RNAcentral.